This 581-nucleotide ribosomal RNA is filed under the name Escherichia coli. RNAcentral describes it as "partial 23S ribosomal RNA". It matches the Rfam family "Bacterial large subunit ribosomal RNA", at positions 2217 to 2797 of the family's 2925-position model. Lineage: Bacteria; Pseudomonadati; Pseudomonadota; Gammaproteobacteria; Enterobacterales; Enterobacteriaceae. The record is from RNAcentral.
AUGUUCUAACGUGGGCCCCUAAUCGGGGUUGCGGACAGUGUCUGGUGGGUAGUUUGACUGGGGCGGUCUCCUCCUAAAGAGUAACGGAGGAGCACGAAGGUUGGCUAAUCCUGGUCGGACAUCAGGAGGUUAGUGCAAUGGCAUAAGCCAGCUUGACUGCGAGCGUGACGGCGCGAGCAGGUGCGAAAGCAGGUCAUAGUGAUCCGGUGGUUCUGAAUGGAAGGGCCAUCGCUCAACGGAUAAAAGGUACUCCGGGGAUAACAGGCUGAUACCGCCCAAGAGUUCAUAUCGACGGCGGUGUUUGGCACCUCGAUGUCGGCUCAUCACAUCCUGGGGCUGAAGUAGGUCCCAAGGGUAUGGCUGUUCGCCAUUUAAAGUGGUACGCGAGCUGGGUUUAGAACGUCGUGAGACAGUUCGGUCCCUAUCUGCCGUGGGCGCUGGAGAACUGAGGGGGGCUGCUCCUAGUACGAGAGGACCGGAGUGGACGCAUCACUGGUGUUCGGGUUGUCAUGCCAAUGGCACUGCCCGGUAGCUAAAUGCGGAAGAGAUAAGUGCUGAAAGCAUCUAAGCACGAAACUUGC